GGUAUAGCUCAAUGGUAGAGUGCUUGCCUAGCAUGUGUAAGGGCCUUGGUUCAAUCCUCAGCACCA
Molecule: transfer RNA, 66 nt
Filed under: Marmota monax (woodchuck)
Lineage: Eukaryota; Metazoa; Chordata; Mammalia; Rodentia; Sciuridae
Description: tRNA.Ala
Source: RNAcentral